This 253-nucleotide ribosomal RNA is filed under the name uncultured bacterium. RNAcentral's name for it is "partial 16S ribosomal RNA". It matches the Rfam family "Bacterial small subunit ribosomal RNA", at positions 524 to 776 of the family's 1533-position model. The record is from RNAcentral.
UACGGAGGGGGCUAGCGUUGUUCGGAAUUACUGGGCGUAAAGCGCACGUAGGCGGCUUUGUAAGUUAGAGGUGAAAGCCCAGGGCUUAACCCUGGAAUUGCCUUUAAGACUGCAUCGCUAGAAUCGUGGAGAGGUGAGUGGAAUUCCGUGUGUAGAGGUGAAAUUCGUAGAUAUUCGGAAGAACACCAGUGGCGAAGGCGACUCACUGGACACGUAUUGACGCUGAGGUGCGAAAGCGUGGGGAGCAAACAGG